This 582-nucleotide ribosomal RNA is filed under the name Rhodotorula taiwanensis. Its description in RNAcentral is "partial large subunit ribosomal RNA". It matches the Rfam family "Eukaryotic large subunit ribosomal RNA", at positions 62 to 659 of the family's 3401-position model. The record is from RNAcentral. Lineage: Eukaryota; Fungi; Basidiomycota; Microbotryomycetes; Sporidiobolales; Sporidiobolaceae.
AAACUAACAAGGAUUCCCCUAGUAGCGGCGAGCGAAGCGGGAAGAGCUCAAAUUUAUAAUCUGGCACCUUCGGUGUCCGAGUUGUAAUCUCUAGAAGUGUUUUCCGCGUUGGACCGCACACAAGUCUGUUGGAAUACAGCGGCAUAGUGGUGAGACCCCCGUAUAUGGUGCGGACGCCCAACGCUUUGUGAUACACUUUCGAAGAGUCGAGUUGUUUGGGAAUGCAGCUCAAAUUGGGUGGUAAAUUCCAUCUAAAGCUAAAUAUUGGCGAGAGACCGAUAGCGAACAAGUACCGUGAGGGAAAGAUGAAAAGCACUUUGGAAAGAGAGUUAACAGUACGUGAAAUUGUUGGAAGGGAAACGCUUGAAGUCAGACUUGCUUGCCGAGCAAUCGGUUUGCAGGCCAGCAUCAGUUUUCCGGGGUGGAUAAUGGUAGAGAGAAGGUAGCAGUUUCGGCUGUGUUAUAGCUCUCUGCUGGAUACACCUUGGGGGACUGAGGAACGCAGUGUGCCUUACGGCGGAUUUCUCGAGAUCUUCACACUUAGGAUGCUGGUGGAAUGGCUUUAAACGACCCGUCUUGAAA